GCGCAUCCCCUCUCGGUUCUCAGGGGUCCUCCUGCUGUCAGUCCCGCGCAUCCCCUCUUGGUUCUCAGGGGUCCUCCAGCUGUCAGGCCCGUGCAUCGCCUCUCUGUCUCCUCUGCCGCUAGAGCCAUCACUCAAUGCUCUGGACCGUACCCCUCCCGGGGCAGGAGGUUUCGGAACGCAUGUCAUUUUCGGGAAGACGGGAAGGAUGAAUGAAUGAGCCAGAGUGCACUUUCUAUAACAUAUACACGGGAAAUGGGAGCUGGAUGCAGAUAAGUCUUUCAUGCUUAUUAAGAACAUUUUAAUGUUUCUCA
Chlorocebus sabaeus (green monkey) is the source of this 311-nucleotide non-coding RNA. The record is from RefSeq and is a predicted model, not a curated record. NCBI's taxonomy places the organism in Eukaryota, Metazoa, Chordata, Mammalia, Primates, Cercopithecidae.